Megaselia scalaris is the source of this 183-nucleotide non-coding RNA. NCBI's taxonomy places the organism in Eukaryota, Metazoa, Arthropoda, Insecta, Diptera, Phoridae. The record is from Rfam.
UACUCUAAGCAGUGGAUCACUUGGCUCAUGGGUCGAUGAAGAACGCAGCAAACUGCGUGUCAUCAUGUGAACUGCAGGACACAUGAACAUCGACAUUUUGAACGCAUAUUGCAGUCCAUGCUAUUUGUACAUUAAUUUUUCUAAAGUUAUUGUACUGCUUGGACUACACAUGGUUGAGGGUUG